AGUGAACGCUGGCGGUAGGCCUAACACAUGCAAGUCGAACGGCAGCACAGUAAGAGCUUGCUCUUACGGGUGGCGAGUGGCGGACGGGUGAGGAAUACAUCGGAAUCUACUUUUUCGUGGGGGAUAACGUAGGGAAACUUACGCUAAUACCGCAUACGACCUACGGGUGAAAGCAGGGGAUCUUCGGACCUUGCGCGAUUGAAUGAGCCGAUGUCGGAUUAGCUAGUUGGCGGGGUAAAGGCCCACCAAGGCGACGAUCCGUAGCUGGUCUGAGAGGAUGAGCGGCCACACUGGAACAGAGACACGGUCCAGACUCCUACGGGAGGCAGCAGUAGGGAAUCUUCCGCAAUGGGCGAAAGCCUGACGGAGCAUCGCCGCGUGAGUGAUGAAGGUCUUCGGAUCGUAAAACUCUGUUAUUAGGGAAGAACAAAUGUGUAAGUAACUAUGCACGUCUUGACGGUACCUAAUCAGAAAGCCACGGCUAACUACGUG
This 492-nucleotide ribosomal RNA is filed under the name uncultured bacterium. Its description in RNAcentral is "partial 16S ribosomal RNA". It matches the Rfam family "Bacterial small subunit ribosomal RNA", at positions 29 to 507 of the family's 1533-position model. The record is from RNAcentral.